GCAGACUCACUCUGUACAUGACUGCCUUCCUCAGUCUUGCUGCUUUUCCAGUCUGCUAGAGAAGUGACCCAUGCUACUGCAAACACCUUUCUCUGGUGAAAGGCCAUUGCAUCUGCUUGGGAAACAUCC
Phascolarctos cinereus (koala) is the source of this 129-nucleotide small nucleolar RNA. NCBI's taxonomy places the organism in Eukaryota, Metazoa, Chordata, Mammalia, Diprotodontia, Phascolarctidae. The record is from Ensembl.